RNAcentral lists this non-coding RNA (500 nucleotides) under Pongo abelii (Sumatran orangutan). Lineage: Eukaryota; Metazoa; Chordata; Mammalia; Primates; Hominidae. The record is from RNAcentral.
UUUCUGUGCUGAGCUUCUUGCUGCUUCCUGCUGGGAAAAUGUUAGUGGCGGAGUCACACCCAGGUUCCCUGUGUCAUUGCAGGAGGCUGUACUGAUGCUCAUGUUUUGUUUCACAAGCUAAGUCCUUGACAGCAUCAGCUGGGGUCCCAGUCUUCUCUCUCAUGUUACCCAGUGAGAACUCACUCACAUAAAUGUCAGGGGAGAAUACGUGGCCUUCUGUUUCCUGGAUCACUGAAUAAAAUCCCCUAUGAUGAUCUGUGUGCGUAUUUGGCUUUGCUGUUUGGUUCCAGGAGUUUUAUUUCAAGGCAAAGCUUGUAUCUGAAGAUGCCAUGAGCUGAGAUUGUCUAGGACUGAGAAGCCCUAACUUCCCAAGGACACUAGUCCUGGAAAGAAGAAAGAGGGGGCAUUCUUCCUGAAAGUGAAAUGCACUCAGAAAGAACUGAUUGGUAUUUAAAAACUACUUCUCACUCUAUCUUUAAAGCCAAAGAGAAAACAUCGAA